This 403-nucleotide ribosomal RNA is filed under the name uncultured bacterium. RNAcentral's name for it is "partial 16S ribosomal RNA". It matches the Rfam family "Bacterial small subunit ribosomal RNA", at positions 28 to 526 of the family's 1533-position model. The record is from RNAcentral.
GACGAACGCUGGCGGCGUGCCUAAUACAUGCAAGUCGAACGCAGUGGGGACGGGUGAGUAACACGUGGGUAACCUCCCAUCAGAGGGGAUAACACUUGGAAACAGGUGCUAAACCGAUCUUGAUGGAUGGACCCGCGGUGCAUUAGCUAGUUGGUGAGGUAACGGCUCACCAAGGCCACGCUGCAUAGCAGCCUCGAGAGGGUGAUCGGCCACAAUGGGACUGAGACACGGCCCAGACUCCUACGGGAGGCAGCAGUAGGGAAUCUUCGGCAAUGGACGAAAGUCUGACCGAGCAACGCCGCGUGAGUGAAGAAGGUUUUCGGAUCGUAAAACUCUGUUGUUAGAGAAGCGGUAUCUAACCAGAAAGCCACGGCUAACUACGUGCCAGCAGUCGCGGUAAUAC